Molecule: ribosomal RNA, 255 nt
Filed under: uncultured bacterium
Lineage: Bacteria
Description: partial 16S ribosomal RNA
Rfam family: Bacterial small subunit ribosomal RNA
Source: RNAcentral
UACAGAGGGGGCAAGCGUUGUUCGGAAUUACUGGGCGUAAAGGGCGCGUAGGCGGCCUUCUAAGUCGAACGUGAAAUCCCCGGGCUCAACCGGGGAACUGCGUCCGAUACUGGUGGGCUUGAAUCCGGGAGAGGGAUGCGGAAUUCCAGGUGUAGCGGUGAAAUGCGUAGAUAUCUGGAGGAACACCGGUGGCGAAGGCGGCAUCCUGGACCGGCAUUGACGCUGAGGCGCGGAAAGCCAGGGGAGCAAACAGGG